RNAcentral lists this long non-coding RNA (960 nucleotides) under Gossypium barbadense (sea-island cotton). Its description in RNAcentral is "long non-coding RNA (GBAR_LNC019751)". The record is from RNAcentral. Lineage: Eukaryota; Viridiplantae; Streptophyta; Magnoliopsida; Malvales; Malvaceae.
UAUACUUUAUCAUUCUCCUACAUUUUCUCUUAUUCUUCUAACUGCUCUUUUCUUUGUGUGCUUGUCCAAGCAAGAAUUUAAGGCUGACUUAGGCCUUUCAUGAACAAUUAAGGAAGUUCUUUUGAGCAACAAGAAGUUGAAGGAGUGCUCGUCCCAUAGUCAGAUUUGAUUAGAGUAGACCUGGAUGAGGUAGUCAAUCUUGAUAUUAAAGGUAAAAACAUCUUACCUCUAACUUCUAUUAAUAUCAUGAAUAUCGUAUUUGUUGCUACUGUAAUACCUAUAGCCCGGCUAACAACGGGAUGUUAUGAAAAAAAAGACACACUUAAAUGACACAAUUAUAAGUAGCAUACUAUUCAAAUUCACAAACAAUUAAUAAAUAAUCACAAAUAUGGUAGAAAUUUCAUCAGAUAUAUAUGUUCAAAUAAUCCAAAUAAAAUAACUAGUAUAGAUUGCAUAAUCACUAGAGUUGUCCAAAAAUAAAAAUAAUAAUACCUGAAUAUUCGGUUUGAUAGCCUGCUACUAAUUCUUCUUCCGUUUCUGGUAAAUCAAAUAUUUUAUUUAUUAGUUCCAUUCUCAAUAAGUAAUAUAUUUUAAAGUUGUGAUCUGUAUAUUAAAUAUAGUUCUAAUUAUUGGCAAAGAAAAACAAAACAAAGAACUAUGGUAAAGAAAAAGUUAUUUGCUAUGUUAAAAAAGAUGGAAAAUAAGCAAAUGACAGUAAAAUAAACAAAAUAAAAUAAAAACAGGAUUUAUAAAACUGAUAACAAGAGCUUUAUUUUCCGCCUGAUCUAAGAACAGUGAACGAAUGAAAACAGAUUUGCAUGCAGUACAUUACAUGCAUGCAAAACCAUUAAAACCCUCCAUGAAAGGGCAUGUCAUUUGUCGAAGCUUAAAAGAGGAAGCAUCCGGCGACGGCGGCUACACCACCAACGACGGCUGAGGCCUUGACAAUAGCGGCACCGG